GAUUUUCUGUGAUGACCAAUCUUACCCACAUUGUUUGAGUUUUACUCUGAUAACACUAAAUGUCUGAGAAAAUC
Actinia tenebrosa (Australian red waratah sea anemone) is the source of this 74-nucleotide small nucleolar RNA. RefSeq annotates it as small nucleolar RNA SNORD34. NCBI's taxonomy places the organism in Eukaryota, Metazoa, Cnidaria, Anthozoa, Actiniaria, Actiniidae. The record is from RefSeq and is a predicted model, not a curated record.